Hypanus sabinus (Atlantic stingray) is the source of this 2927-nucleotide long non-coding RNA. RefSeq lists it as uncharacterized. NCBI's taxonomy places the organism in Eukaryota, Metazoa, Chordata, Chondrichthyes, Myliobatiformes, Dasyatidae. The record is from RefSeq and is a predicted model, not a curated record. The transcript has 4 exons.
UUCUACUUCACAAAGCAACACACAAAAUGCUGGAGGAACUCAGGUCAGGCAGCAUCUAUGGAAAUGAAUAACCAAUCGACGUUUCAGGCUGAUACCCUUCUUCAAGACAGGAAAGGGUUCAAAACAAUUGAUAUUAGUUAUACACUCCGAACGCCAGGAAAAGCAUGAUCUUCCGGUGGCCACCCAUUUCAAUUCUACUUCCCAGUCUGAUUCGCCUAUGCAUGGCCUCCUCUACUGCUGCAAUGAGGCCCACUCAAGCUGGAGGAGCAACAAAUCUUAUAUGCCGUCUGGGUAGUCUCCAACCUGAUGGGAUGAACAUCGAUCUCUCGAACUUCCGUCCUGAUAAAAGGUCUUGGCCCAAAACGUCGACUAUUUACUCUUUUCCAUAGACACUGCCUGACUUGCUGAAUUCCUCCAGCACUUUGUGUGUGUUACUGGCCCUUUCUGUAUACCGGUCCUUGAUAACAGGGUUCUUUUGAAGAUCCUGACCUGGAGUUACAUGCAGACUUUGGUUCUUAGUGCAAAUGGGACCCGCUUUCGGGGUUUUGUAACCGGCCGUUGUUGUUUGGCAUGCAAAGGGCUUGGAUAAGCCGAGGAUCUUGGGGCUCUGGAGGGGGCAGAUCAAGGGUCGGUGUAACGGCAGGAGACCUGUGUGUCAUCGAAGGAGUCAGAAUAUCUACGGCUGUGUGCCCAGAGAUCCUUGAUUUAUGAGGUCUUCAGGCACAAAGCUUGAAAAAAGCGACGCAACAGACUUAACAUCGUGAAACCAGCGAGUUGUUUGUUAUGUCUCGCUGCUCGCUGGGAAAACAGAGAUAACUCUUUCUCCCUUAUCGGGGAAAGAGAGAGCCUGUGGUAUGUCGUAUACCAGGUGAAACACGAAGUCUUUGGGGUAACUGCAAGCCUGUGUCUUUGCUGUUGCUUUGCUCACGCUUGAGUGCUCAGUGGCAGUUGCCAAUGCUUUUUUUUGGCCAGUGGGGUUGGGGGGAUUGUUGCUUGCUACCGCUUACGUGGAGGAGGGAGGGGACCUGGGGGGGGGGACUUUGGGGUUCUAACACUUAACUGUCGUUCAUUCUUUUUUUUCGUUCAUUCUCCUGUUUUUGUUGAUGGUUGUGAAGAAAAAACAUUUCAGGAUGUGUAUUCACGAGGAAAUCUGCAGAUGCUGGAAAUUCAAGCAACACACACAAAAUGCUGGUGGAAUGCAGCAGGCCAGACAGCAUCUAUAGGGAGAAGCGCUGUCGACGUUUCGGGCCGAGACCCUUCGUCAGGACUAACUGAAAGGAAAGAUAGUAAGAGAUUUGAAAGUAGGAGGGGGAGGGGAAAAUGCGAAAUGAUAGGAGAAGACCGGAGGGGGUGGGGUGAAGCUGAGAGCCGGAAAGGUGAUUGGCAAAAAGGAUACAGAGCUAGAGAAGGGAAAGGAUCAUGGGAUGGGAGGCCUAGGGAGAAAGAAAGGGGGAGGGGAGCACCAGAGGGAGAUGGAGAACAGGCAGAUUGAUGGGCAGAGAGAGAAAAAAAACUAAAUAUAUCAGGGAAGGGGUAAGAAGGGGAGGGGCAUUAACGGAAGUUAGAGAAGUCGAUGCUCAGGUUGGAGGCUACCCAGCCGGUAUAUAAGGUGUUGUUCCUCCAACCUGAGUGUGGCUUCAUCUUGACAGUAGAGGAGGCCAUGGAUAGACAUAUCAGAAUGGGAAUGGGACGUGGAAUUAAAAUGUGGCACCACUGGGAGAUCCUGCUUUCUCUGGCGGACAGAGUGUAGGUGUUCAGUGAAACGGUCUCCUGGUCUGCGUCGGGUCUAGCCGAAUUAGUUCUUACUCUCAAUAAUUUCUCCUUUGGCUCCUCCCACUUCCUCCAAACCAAAGGUGUAGCCAUGGGCACCCGCAUGGGUCCCAGUUAUGCCUGCCUUUUUGUUGGCUUUGUGGAAUAGUCCAUGUUCUAAGUCUAUACGGGUAUCCAUCCCCCUCUUUUCCUUCUCUACAUCAACGACUGCAUUGGAGCUGCCACCUGCACACAUGCUGAGCUCGUUGACUUCAUUAACUUCGCCUCCAACUUUCACCCCGCCCUCAAAUUUACCUGGUCUAUUUCUGACACCUCCCUCCCCUUUCUUGAUCUUUCUGUUUCCAUCUCUGAAGACGGCCUAUCUACUGAUAUCUACUAUAAGCCUUCAGAUUCUCACAGCUACAUGGACUAUUCCUCUUUCUACCCUGUCUCUUGCAAAAAUGCUAUCCCCUUCUCACAAUUCCUCUAUCUCCGCUGCAUCUGCUCUCAGGAUGAGGCUUUUCAUUCAGGGACGAAGGACAUGUCUUCCUUUUUUAAACAAAAGGGCUUCCCUUCUUCCACCAUCAACUCUGCUCUCAAAUGCCUCUCUCCCAUUUCCCGCACAUCUGCCCUCACCCCAUCCGCCCACCACCCCUCUCGGGAUAGGGUUCCCCUUGUCCUCACCUACCACCCCACCAGCCUCCAGGUCCAACGUAUAAUUCUCUGUAACUUCUGCCACCUCCUCCAACAGGAUCCCACUCCCAAGCACAUCUUUCCCUCCCCCCCUCUGCUUUCCGCAGUGAUCACUCCCUACGCGACUCCCUUGUCCAUUCAUCCCCCCCCAUCCCUUCCCACCGACUUCCCUCCUGGCACUUAUCCUUGCAAGCGGAACAAGUGCCACACCUGCCCUUACACUUCCUCCCUCACCACCAUUCAGGGCCCCAGACAGUUCUUCCAGGUGAGGCGACACUUUACCUGUGAGUCAGCUGGUAUGGUAUUCUGCGUCCGGUGCUCCCGGUGUUGUCAGGAUGUGUAUUGUAUACAUUUCUCUGACAUUAAAUUGGACUUUUGAACCUUUGAACUCCCACUGCUGCAGAUGUAGGGUCCCAUCUACUUUUAAACCAGUGCCCAAGAGCAGGGUGAGCUGCCUCAACAACUAUCGCCCAGUGUUCUGAAGU